CCAGCCUCUACAAUGCUCAGAUGUUCUUUCCCUGCCAGGACUCCUGCAAUGCAGCCUUUCUCUAGUUUCCCUUCCGACCGCUGACGGGAGGGAAGUUCUGCUCAGACCUGCAUUGUGGACUUGACUGUCAAUGUAGAGAGGCGAAGAGAAAAUAGUGAAAUCUGACUUCCAUAGUCAGGUCUACCCAUGCGCAGCAGAAAGAGCUCACCGGAAGGUGUUCCUGGGUUCCGGUGCAGUCCCGGCUUGUGAGGCGGGACUUCCGCCCUGAAGACAGACUCUCUUAUCUCCUCUCAGGGAGGUGGUUGUCUUACAGCUUGAGAACCUGUCAGGCAUUUUGCAGCUUCGGGUGUUCUGCACAUAGUCCUCUUCUCUCAGGGGAGCAGGCACAGGAGUUAUGUGUGUUAAAACGCCAGAUGAGCGAUUUCGUUUGCGAAGUGGGACUGAUCGCUUGAACCAGAGCAGAAGAGUCUGUUCUGUGGAUAACUGGAUGAACCGAACUCACCCUGAACUCCCCAAAGCAGGAUUUCAGGCCUCCCCGAGGGCAGAGCGGGCCUGGUGAUUCCACUGUGCAGAUUCCACCGUCCGGAUCCCACAGUGCAGGAGGCUCUGGCCCUCACCUGGAACCACGAAGCGCCCUAACCUGACCUUUUCGUCCUCUCAUCACAUGGCCCCUCCCCUGCCCUUGAAGAGGAGUGAGGAGUUAAAAAAAUGAAGAUGUGAUGGUUGGAGAUUCAGGCGUCAGCUGGGAAGCCCUAAAGAUGAGGCCCAUGCCCAGAGAAUAUGAUGUAACCUGGGUCCAAGAGGACAUUAUAGAGCCACCAUCCUAGUAUUGCCUUGAAGGAUUGUCCUGAAUAAGUGCAUUCAUCAAGACAGCAAGUCAAGUCAAGCCAUCAGGCAGAUGCAUAACAGCAAACUGCCAUCACAAGGAUGCUUGAAUGUGGAGGGAGUCAUGAAGAUGGGAAAUGAGAUGUACAA
This is a long non-coding RNA of Lutra lutra (Eurasian river otter), 975 nucleotides long. RefSeq lists it as uncharacterized. The record is from RefSeq and is a predicted model, not a curated record. The transcript has 4 exons. NCBI's taxonomy places the organism in Eukaryota, Metazoa, Chordata, Mammalia, Carnivora, Mustelidae.